ACGUGAAUUAGUGAGAGGUUCAAACUUCACCAGGCUUCAGUGUCACAUCUUUUCACACGGGCACCCCGAGGGCCCGGACUGGAAAGGUUCCCAGGAAACGAUGCCAGCGCUUUGAGUAGCGAGGAGGUGGAGAAAUAGCCCGUGCCGUUUGCAAGCUUUGAAGGUCCAGGCUCUCUUUCACACUCCUCAAUGUCAUCUCAAACUGUCAAACGCAGCCACAUCCCUUAUACGAUACAUGUUCUGUAGUAAAAGUGUUUUGUUGUGCCGUAAGAUACAGAAAGUGUUUUUAAAAAUUAA
This 297-nucleotide small RNA is filed under the name Pan troglodytes (chimpanzee). RNAcentral's name for it is "sense intronic". Lineage: Eukaryota; Metazoa; Chordata; Mammalia; Primates; Hominidae. The record is from RNAcentral.